RNAcentral lists this ribosomal RNA (482 nucleotides) under uncultured bacterium. Its description in RNAcentral is "partial 16S ribosomal RNA". It matches the Rfam family "Bacterial small subunit ribosomal RNA", at positions 30 to 507 of the family's 1533-position model. The record is from RNAcentral.
AUUGAACGCUGGCGGCAUGCUUUACACAUGCAGGUCGAACGGUAACAGGCCGCAAGGUGCUGACGAGUGGCGAACGGGUGAGUAAUGCAUCGGAACGUGCCCAGUCGUGGGGGAUAACUACUCGAAAGAGUAGCUAAUACCGCAUACGAUCUAUGGAUGAAAGCGGGGGACCGUAAGGCCUCGCGCGAUUGGAGCGGCCGAUGUCAGAUUAGGUAGUUGGUGGGGUAAAGGCUCACCAAGCCAACGAUCUGUAGCUGUUCUGAGAGGACGACCAGCCACACGGGGACUGAGACACGGCCCAGACUCCUACGGGAGGCAGCAGUGGGGAAUUUUGGACAAUGGGCGCAAGCCUGAUCCAGCAAUGCCGCGUGCAGGAAGAAGGCCUUCGGGUUGUAAACUGCUUUUGUACGGAACGAAACGGCUCUGGUUAAUACCCGGGGCUAAUGACGGUACCGUAAGAAUAAGCACCGGCUAACUACGUG